Gossypium raimondii (Peruvian cotton) is the source of this 141-nucleotide non-coding RNA. Lineage: Eukaryota; Viridiplantae; Streptophyta; Magnoliopsida; Malvales; Malvaceae. The record is from Rfam.
UAUUAAAAAUUUUAUCCAUUUGUAGUAUUAGAAACUAGCGUGAUUGAUGUAAUAAUCAGAUAAUAACACAUGACGUGCCACAUGUACCUCACAUUGAUGGACAGAGAUCAAUUUUUAACUAUAUGGACGAAAUUUUUAAUA